This 72-nucleotide transfer RNA is filed under the name Crassvirales sp. RNAcentral's name for it is "tRNA-OTHER". It matches the Rfam family "tRNA". Rfam says of the family: Transfer RNA (tRNA) molecules are approximately 80 nucleotides in length. The record is from RNAcentral. Lineage: Duplodnaviria; Heunggongvirae; Uroviricota; Caudoviricetes; Crassvirales.
UGCCUCAUGGUGUAAUGGUUAGCACAGAGGACUCUAAAUCCUUUGGUCUCUGUUCGAGCCAGAGUGGGGCGA